This 440-nucleotide ribosomal RNA is filed under the name uncultured bacterium. RNAcentral describes it as "partial 16S ribosomal RNA". It matches the Rfam family "Bacterial small subunit ribosomal RNA", at positions 338 to 795 of the family's 1533-position model. The record is from RNAcentral.
CCUACGGGUGGCUGCAGUGGGGGAUUUUGCACAAUGGGGGGAACCCUGAUGCAGCGACGCCGCGUGGGUGACGGAGUGCCUCGGGUUGUAAACCGCUAUCAGCAGGGAAGAUGCAAGACGGUACCUGCAGAAGAAGCUCCGGCUAACUACGUGCCAGCAGCCGCGGUAAUACGUAGGGGGCGAGCGUUAUCCGGAUUCAUUGGGCGGAAAGGGCGCGUAGACGGCCUGCUAAGCGGGAGCUCUAACCCCGGGGCUCAACCCCGGGCCGGGUCUCGGACUGGGCGGCUCGAGUGCGGUAGAGGAGGGCGGAAUUCCUGGUGUAGCGGUGGAAUGCGCAGAUAUCGGGAAGAACACCGACGGCGAAGGCAGCCCGCUGGGCCGCCACUGACGUUGAGGCGCGAAAGCGGGGGGAGCGAACAGGAUUAGAUACCCGUGUAGUC